Molecule: transfer RNA, 68 nt
Filed under: Viviparus viviparus
Lineage: Eukaryota; Metazoa; Mollusca; Gastropoda; Architaenioglossa; Viviparidae
Description: tRNA-Thr
Rfam family: tRNA
About the family: Transfer RNA (tRNA) molecules are approximately 80 nucleotides in length.
Source: RNAcentral
GCAAUAAAAGUUUAAGUUGUAAGCAUUGGUUUUGUAAAUCAAAGAGUGAAAUUGUAUUUCUUAUUGUU